This 465-nucleotide ribosomal RNA is filed under the name uncultured bacterium. Its description in RNAcentral is "partial 16S ribosomal RNA". It matches the Rfam family "Bacterial small subunit ribosomal RNA", at positions 338 to 795 of the family's 1533-position model. The record is from RNAcentral.
CCUACGGGCGGCAGCAGUGGGGAAUUUUGGACAAUGGGCGCAAGCCUGAUCCAGCUAUUCCGCGUGUGGGAAGACGGCCUUCGGGUUGUAAACCACUUUUGUAGAGAACGAAAAGUCUAUUGAUAAUACCGAUAGAUGAUGACGGUACUCUAAGAAUAAGCACCGGCUAACUACGUGCCAGCAGCCGCGGUAAUACGUAGGGUGCGAGCGUUAAUCGGUAUUACUGGGGGUAAAGGGUGUGCAGGCGGGUUUGCAAGAUGGAUGUGAAAGCCCCGGGCUUAACCUGGGAAAGCCAUACAUGACUGCAAGACUAGAGUGCGUCAGAGGGGGGUGGAAUUCCAAGUGUAGCAGUGAAAUGCGUAGAUAUUUGGAAGAACACCGAUGGCGAAGGCAGCCCCCUGGGACGCAACUGACGCUCAUACACGAAAGCGUGGGGAGCAAACAGGAUUAGAUACCCCAGUAGUC